GACGAACGCUGGCGGCGUGCCUAAUACAUGCAAGUAGAACGCUGAAGGAGGAGCUUGCUCUUCUGGAUGAGUUGCGAACGGGUGAGUAACGCGUAGGUAACCUGCCUGGUAGCGGGGGAUAACUAUUGGAAACGAUAGCUAAUACCGCAUAAGAGUAGAUGUUGCAUGACAUUUGCUUAAAAGGUGCAAUUGCAUCACUACCAGAUGGACCUGCGUUGUAUUAGCUAGUUGGUGGGGUAACGGCUCACCAAGGCGACGAUACAUAGCCGACCUGGGAGGGUGAUCGGCCACACUGGGACUGAGACACGGCCCAGACGCCUACGGGAGGCAGCAGUAGGGAAUCUUCGGCAAUGGACGGAAGUCUGACCGAGCAACGCCGCGUGAGUGAAGAAGGUUUUCGGAUCGUAAAGCUCUGUUGUAAGAGAAGAACGAGUGUGAGAGUGGAAAGUUCACACUGUGACGGUAGCUUACCAGAAAGGGACGGCUAACUACGUG
RNAcentral lists this ribosomal RNA (495 nucleotides) under uncultured bacterium. RNAcentral's name for it is "partial 16S ribosomal RNA". It matches the Rfam family "Bacterial small subunit ribosomal RNA", at positions 28 to 507 of the family's 1533-position model. The record is from RNAcentral.